Molecule: non-coding RNA, 2468 nt
Organism: Theobroma umbraticum
Lineage: Eukaryota; Viridiplantae; Streptophyta; Magnoliopsida; Malvales; Malvaceae
Source: RefSeq, a predicted model, not a curated record
UAAAUAAUCAUACUUUCAGUUUAAUUCAUAAUGCAACUUAUUAUGUGUGACUCAUUAGGUUCUUAAUAUGUUAUCAAUGGAAUCAAAUUAUAAUUUUUAUUAAAUUAAUUACUUCAAUUCGAUAAAUCAAGACUAGCAUUUAGCAAUAACAACCUUUCAGUUUACAGUCUAUCAGUGUAAUUCAUUCUUCAUCAUAUAUCUCAAAAAUGAUAAGACAUGAUACAAUGUUUACUUUUAUUGAUCUCCACAUUCGUUCUUGUGGUUAGAUUGUUAUCCUUUUAGAGACUUAUAAAACUCUUUUUUCAUAAUCUCUAAGUCGCCUUGGCUAAAGACUUUAACAAGCUAAUAUCAACCAAGAAUUGUUAAGAUAUGUCUUUUAAAUCACUUGGGGUGAUGAUUCCUUUCUUGACCAUUCAUUUUCCUUCACAUACUUUAACUUAUACUCAAAAGUAUCUUGUUUUGGCAUCCUUGGUUAGGUACCCAUAGAGAUGAAAUCAAAGCAUAGUAAUCCACAGAUAAGAGAACUUAAUAUCUUAAGUCUAGAGAGUAUUUAUACAACUAACACAUGAGAAAUAUUGCAUAAACACUUGAGUGAAAUACCCUUAGAAUAGUUGCCAAGGUAAGAGUUUAAACACCUUAGAUAGUUAAAUCUAAGAAGAUUGUGAAUUAAGAGUUGUUGGUUGAGUUUGAAAUGUAGUUAAGCUGUGAAAUGUCGAAAAUGCUUUUAAGUUAAGAAUUGAGCUCUUAUGUUCUAUUUCGAGGAAGUUUAAGCUUCAAAAACUAUUGGUGAGCAAGGAUAACUCAAUUUGCUUAAUUGAUGGAAAUCACUUGCUAAGUGAGUGAGACUUAUUGGUUAGACAUUGGAUGAAUGCAUGUAAUGCAUAAUACAUGUAGAUGUGCUGCCAUGGGACAUAUUUGAGUCAUAUUUGAUAAGUUUACCUAUGGGUUUAUGUAUGUAUAUGAGUAUACAUACACAUGUGUGUGUGUGUGUGAGCUGUUAUUGUAAUGCUUAAUGCAAAUAAAAUGCCUAGGCUGAUGGGUUACUUGAGUUGUGAUUAUAGCCAUGUGAGUAAUGAAUUUGAUUUCAUUAAAAAGUUAUAUGAAUAUAUGUUGGCAAUGGGAUAUACGUGGUUGAUAUGUGUCUAAACGUAUUAUGCUUAGGCCAACGGUUCAAUGCUAGCUACCUUAUGGCUAUGCUUAGCAAUAAUUAUGUUUGGUGAAAAAGACUUGAUAUAUACAUAUCUUGAAUGGGAAAUAAGCACAUUGAAAUGUUUAAACCAUCCAAAUGGUUUCUUGAAUCCUGCUUUGGUCCUGUAUAAGCCACAUAGUGGUGAUUGUGCUUGAUUAUGUUUGUAUUUGAGGCUAUAUAUGCUGACUUUGCCAAUUUGUUAGCACAUGCUUAUGUCUUGAUGCUCUUAUAUUAUGCAUGUGUAUGAACAUUAUUGCUUUUAAGUAAUGAAUGCUUCUUAUGAGCUAUUGAACUUGAAUUGUGAAAGUUUAUUAAUUUAUUGUUUAAUAGUAUCCGUGAAUGAUGCUAAAUAAUUAUGAAAAUGACAUCUGCACAUGGGGUAGCAACAUGGUGGCCAAUGUUAAUUUGAUUUUGUUCGAUGAGUGCAUUUCGGACGAUGAUAUGGACUUGUGGAGUGGGAUGCCUGUCCUGUUUACCUUGAAGGACCUCUUGAUUUGAUGUUAUCCAAUGAAUGAGAUUCCGAACAUUGAUAUGGACUUGUGGAGUGGGGUGCAUGUCCCAUGGUCUUAUUUAUCAUCAAUGGCUUCGACACUAGACGUGUCUUGUUUACCCAGAGGACCUUUCUCUUGUUACCAUCUUGUUAAUAGUAUAUGGAUGUUUAAAAGCUAACGAUAAGUAGUUUAAUGAGUAAAUGUGUGCUCUGAUGGGUUUGGUAAAUUACUACGUAUAUGCAUUUUCAUAUAUUUGCAUAUCUUGAGAUUGUAGUUUUAUGUGAAUUGCUUUCGUUAUGCAUAUUGGUUUUUGCCCACUCACUGAGUUAACAAGAGCUCACCCUAAUGUCUUGUUCCCAUGUGCAGAUAAAUUGCUUUUGGGGAUUCUUAUACGGAAAGAAGUGGGCUUGUUCGGGUCUCAUGGGUUACCCUCAUUGGACUUGUGUGCCAUUCACAGUCUCUAGAGUUCAUAUGAGAUACAAAUGGAAUAUCGAUGGAAUUAUUGCGAUUGCUGACGGAUAUUGCUUGUAAGCUUCAAAGUCGACUCUUAAGGCCGUCCAUUAGUUAUUUCAUCAAUAUUCACUGAUGGAAUUUAUCGACAGAUCUUAAUCCAUCGGUACCUUUACCGAUGAAAAUAACUGAUGGAGUUUCCUUAUCAUCGACGAGAUAAUGAUCGACGGAUUCAAGCCUUUAAUAAUGGAAUUACUUAUGGAUCAAUCAGUCAGUAUUUUAUUGAUAGAAUAAUCUGUCAACUUACAGAUUUGCCAUUAUCGACCAUUGUAUCUUCG